This 311-nucleotide unclassified non-coding RNA is filed under the name plant metagenome. RNAcentral's name for it is "partial contains 5.8S ribosomal RNA, internal transcribed spacer 2, and large subunit ribosomal RNA". The stretch from base 1 to 105 matches the Rfam family "5.8S ribosomal RNA", at positions 50 to 154 of the family's 154-position model. The record is from RNAcentral.
GAAAUGCGAUAAGUAAUGUGAAUUGCAGAGUUUUGUGAAUCAUCGAAUCUUUGAACGCACAUUGCGCCCCCCGGUAUUCCGGCGGGCAUGCCUGUCCGAGCGUCGUUGCAACCCAUCGAGUCACAUCUCGGUCUUGGGCGUCGCCCCACCCGGUGCGGAGGGGCGGGCCCCAAAGCCCUCGGCGGCCCCGAGCGCGCGCCGGUGCGUCUUCGAAUGCACCCGCUCCGGCGUCGCGCCCGCGGCCCGCCCGCGAAAUGCAGCAACAGAACGUCUGACCUCGGAGCAGGUAGGGCUACCCGCUGAACUUAAGC